UGCACAGUGUGCAGCCCCUCCUGCAGUCCCUGCUGCUUCCUCUUCCUGCCUGAUACACAGAUUUAAAGAUUUCUCCAGCUUUGGCUGCCUCAGUCAGAAGGUCCCAGUUUAGCUGAGGGGCACCAGGAACACCAGGGAAGUGGAAAUGGGAGAGACAGAGGAAGGGGGGAGGUCUGAGACUGCAGCCCACAGGCAGAACUCAUCAGGAACUGCUAGGGGAGUGAUCUCCACAAAGAGGUGACCUGCUGUGUUUUGAUAAUGGCAAACAGAACCCUUGAAUCUGGAACAUGUGCUGACAGCUGGAGCUGGGAUGAAACAGCACAAAGGAUGUUUAGAUGAUGUUGUUACCCAACAGAAAAGCUGAAAUUAGAACAACUGUGCUGUAACUCUCUACAAAGAGGUUCAGAUGAAAAAAAUAACGAUGUGUUUGAUGCCCAUGUAGGCAGCUGAGCUGAUGCUGAACUCUGCCUUCUGUGAUGGCACAAUUUGCUGACAGCCAGGUUUGUAGGACAGCAGCCUGGAAAUCUGUCUGUGUUUCCUUUGAGGUGUGUUUUCCUAGAAUACAUAUUUUCUUUGGUGAUUAUUUAUUAUUACCAUGAGGAAAUGUAUCAGUUUUGACAGUACUGCUCCUCUAAUGACAUAUAUCAUGAGCCAGGAUAUUUUUCUAGGUUUAUUUUUGAGCCUGACACUUUCAUUUGAGAUCCUAAUUAUAUACAUAUUUGUAUACAUAUUUAUUUCAGUGUUUUUAAACAGUAAAAAAAUGUAACCCAAGGUAUUGUUCAAGAAAACAUCUAGGGCUUAAGUAACUUAACCAUUGUAGAGACAGGAAAGGUGGAAUUUAGGUUUUUUCUUUCUUUCUGUUCAUAGUUAUUUCUGGAAUUUCCAAUUCCUCAGAAUUAUCAUAGGAUUUUUUUUGUUAAUGAGCACUAAAAGGCUCCAUCUUUGUUCUGCACUCUGUGCCAAGAUAAUCUUGAGGAAGUUAUGACUUUGAUGGAUAAAUAUUCCAGAAGAAAAAUGAAAUUCAGGGUAAACUGUUUCCAUGAGAAAAUGGAUCAGAUAACAUUUGAAACCUAUAUAAUGCAGUUUCAUCAUAAUUGUGCAGCCUUAAAUGAUUGAAAUAAAUGUUUUAAAUGAAACAAGUCAUCCUAGGAUGAAGAUUUCAUACUAUACAAUUCAGCCUGGCAUUAAUUUUAUACAUAGUAAGAACUACUUGGUCAUCAGCAGAAUUUGGUCUCUGGAUUUAUAUUUAUACAGUAAAGGAUGCUGGGUACUGAUAAAGUUACAAGAAGCAGUUAAGAUAAAUAAAAAUUUGUAGCUUCCCAAGCCAUGGAGUUAAUCCACAAACAAGAUUCUAAACAACACCACCUAUUCUUGCAUGUCACCAGAACCUGCUGAUGUUUGAGGAAGUUUUCCAUUUGACAAGUUUUAGGAUCAUAUUUCUAGAAAGGGCUUUGCUGUAAUUAUUCCAGGAAUGAAUUCUGAGCAGGUGAAGGAAAUACUGGCUGCAAUAUGCAUCAGAAAGUCUGACAGCUGGGAAAUCAGAGAAAAAUACUCUUUGUUUUUGAAGUACAGUCAUCAUAGGUUUGACAGCUCUAAGUUGUGGUUGCUUUGCAUGGCACUGAAGAUUCCUGGUUGGAAAUCCUUGGUGCUUCCCUUCCAUCACGUGCUGCUUGCACUG
Long non-coding RNA from Oenanthe melanoleuca, 1678 nucleotides. RefSeq lists it as uncharacterized. The transcript has 3 exons. The record is from RefSeq and is a predicted model, not a curated record. NCBI's taxonomy places the organism in Eukaryota, Metazoa, Chordata, Aves, Passeriformes, Muscicapidae.